UCUGUCUGUCUCAGUACAGGAAGGAAACAUGUUUUAUACACACAGCUAGGUAUGCUGUGUCUGUCUGUCUCCAUACAGGAAGGAAACAUGUUUUAUACACACUGCUAGGUAUGCUAUGUCUGUCUGUCUCAGUACAGGAAGGAAACAUGUUUUAUACACACAGCUAGGUAUGCUGUGUCUGUCUGUCUCCGUACAGGAAGGAAACAUGUUUUAUACACACAGCUAGGUAUGCUAUGUCUGUCUGUCUCAGUACAGGAAGGAAACAUGUUUUAUACACACAGCUAGGUAUGCUGUGUCUGUCUGUCUCCGUACAGGAAGGAAACAUGUUUUAUACACACAGUUUUUUGACAGUUUAAAUUCCAUAAAGGUUUGGGUCUUUUUGUUUUCUCACCCCUUUCCUGCUGUCCCAUCAGUCCUCUGGUGGUGUUGGUGAUCCUACAGAGAGGAAUGUCUAUACACUGCUCUCUGUUUCUAUUGCUGUUUUCCUCUCCAACAUAAUAGGGGUCCCAUUUGAGUGUGGCACGUCCUUUACAAUGCCACACACACACACACACACACACACACACACACACACACCUCAGGAGGGCUUGGGAACACCAGUGGAACACCAUACAGCUUUGUAAAGGUUACUAUAUUGGUUCUACUGUUGUAU
Long non-coding RNA from Oncorhynchus tshawytscha (Chinook salmon), 652 nucleotides. RefSeq lists it as uncharacterized. NCBI's taxonomy places the organism in Eukaryota, Metazoa, Chordata, Actinopteri, Salmoniformes, Salmonidae. The transcript is spliced from 3 exons. The record is from RefSeq and is a predicted model, not a curated record.